UGUAAUUGCCGGUAGCACUGAU
This 22-nucleotide unclassified non-coding RNA is filed under the name Chlamydomonas reinhardtii. RNAcentral's name for it is "small RNA Cre_3514". The record is from RNAcentral. Lineage: Eukaryota; Viridiplantae; Chlorophyta; Chlorophyceae; Chlamydomonadales; Chlamydomonadaceae.